Molecule: ribosomal RNA, 256 nt
Filed under: uncultured bacterium
Lineage: Bacteria
Description: partial 16S ribosomal RNA
Rfam family: Bacterial small subunit ribosomal RNA
Source: RNAcentral
UACGAAGGGGGCUAGCGUUGUUCGGAAUUACUGGGCGUAAAGCGCACGUAGGCGGAUAUUUAAGUCAGGGGUGAAAUCCCAGAGCUCAACUCUGGAACUGCCUUUUGAUACUGGGUAUCUCGAGUAUGGAAGAGGUGAGUGGAAUUCCGAGUGUAGAGGUGAAAUUCGUAGAUAUUCGGAGGAACACCAGUGGCGAAGGCGGCUCACUGGUCCAUUACUGACGCUGAGGUGCGAAAGCGUGGGGGAGCAAAACAGG